RNAcentral lists this ribosomal RNA (406 nucleotides) under uncultured bacterium. RNAcentral's name for it is "bacterial SSU rRNA". It matches the Rfam family "Bacterial small subunit ribosomal RNA", at positions 355 to 775 of the family's 1533-position model. The record is from RNAcentral.
UGGGGAAUAUUGGGCAAUGGGCGAAAGCCUGACCCAGCAACGCCGCGUGAGGGAAGAAGGCCUUCGGGUUGUAAACCUCUGUCCUUGGUGACGAAAAGAAUGACGGUAGCCAAGGAGGAAGCCCCGGCUAACUACGUGCCAGCAGCCGCGGUAAUACGUAGGGGGCGAGCGUUGUCCGGAAUUACUGGGCGUAAAGGGUGCGUAGGCGGCCGAUUAAGUUGGAUGUGAAAUACCCGGGCUUAACCUGGGGGGUGCAUCCAAUACUGGUAGGCUAGAGUGCAGGAGAGGGAAGCGGAAUUCCUAGUGUAGCGGUGAAAUGCGUAGAUAUUAGGAGGAACACCAGCGGCGAAGGCGGCUUUCUGGACUGUAACUGACGCUGAUGCACGAAAGCGUGGGGAGCAAACAG